UAAAACCCAGAGAAGUCCCGGAGGGGGGUAAAUACUUUCUAUAAACACUGUAAAUUGUACCCAGAUGUCUGUUUAGAAGCGGCCGUGUCACCGUGU
Long non-coding RNA from Nanorana parkeri, 96 nucleotides. RefSeq lists it as uncharacterized. The record is from RefSeq and is a predicted model, not a curated record. NCBI's taxonomy places the organism in Eukaryota, Metazoa, Chordata, Amphibia, Anura, Dicroglossidae. The transcript is spliced from 3 exons.